RNAcentral lists this ribosomal RNA (472 nucleotides) under uncultured bacterium. Its description in RNAcentral is "SSU rRNA". It matches the Rfam family "Bacterial small subunit ribosomal RNA", at positions 26 to 518 of the family's 1533-position model. The record is from RNAcentral.
AGGACGAACGCUGGCGGCGUGCUUAACACAUGCAAGUCGAGCGGAAAGGCCCUUCGGGGUACUCGAGCGGCGAACGGGUGAGUAACACGUGAGUAAUCUGCCCCUAGCUCUGGGAUAGCUCCGGGAAACCGGGAUUAAUACCGGAUAUGACCACUUUAGACAUCUGUUGUGGUGGAAAGAAUUUCGGCUAGGGAUGAGCUCGCGGCCUAUCAGCUUGUUGGUGGGGUAACGGCCUACCAAGGCGACGACGGGUAGCCGGCCUGAGAGGGCGACCGGCCACACUGGGACUGAGACACGGCCCAGACUCCUACGGGAGGCAGCAGUGGGGAAUAUUGCGCAAUGGGCGAAAGCCUGACGCAGCGACGCCGCGUGGGGGAUGAAGGCCUUCGGGUUGUAACCCCUUCAGCAGGGACGAAGCGAAAGUGACGGUACCUGCAGAAGAAGCGCCGGCUAACUACGUGCCAGCAGCCGC